AUGUUUGUAACAAACAUUACAAAUCAAAUUGAAAUAAAACUGAAGUUAUACAAACACAAAAAGUAUAUAAUAACUUUAAUAUCAGACAAUUUAGGGUAAUUCCUCAAUGACUAAAUAUACAAAAAUCCAAAGUACUUGCUUGGUUGAUUUGUAUUAACGUCAUUUGAUGAUACUCUUAACUCCACGGGUAAAGUAGACUCGCUCUUCACAUCACUAUGCUGAUUGAUUUGUAUUAACGUUACUUGAUGAUACUCUUAACUCCACGGGUAAAGUAGACUCGCUCUUCACAUCACUAUGCUGAUUGAUUUGUAUUAACGUUACUUGAUGAUACUCUUAACUCCACGGGUAAAGUAGACUCGCUCUUCACAUCACUAUGCUGAUUGAUUUGUAUUAACGUUACUUGAUGAUACUC
This 412-nucleotide long non-coding RNA is filed under the name Nicotiana benthamiana. Its description in RNAcentral is "long non-coding RNA (NBEN_LNC030106)". The record is from RNAcentral. Lineage: Eukaryota; Viridiplantae; Streptophyta; Magnoliopsida; Solanales; Solanaceae.